This is a long non-coding RNA of Lontra canadensis (Northern American river otter), 404 nucleotides long. RefSeq lists it as uncharacterized. The record is from RefSeq and is a predicted model, not a curated record. Lineage: Eukaryota; Metazoa; Chordata; Mammalia; Carnivora; Mustelidae. The transcript has 2 exons.
UCGAAUGCCCUGACCCUUUCCGUGGGGACUUGCAGUCACACCUAGGAGCUAUGCUGUAUGCACUGUGUUGGGAUCCAGGAUGCCCUCGGGAGCCCUGGACUGAGUGUAGAGCCCCGCACGAUCCCAAGUGGCCAGUAACGGAUCGACACCCGCUCUGCCCUUGCUGUGCCGACAGUGAGGGCUCCUGUUAAAAUGGAAACAUCUGAGCAAGAAACACAGUAAGACAUCAUGGUCCCUGACCUUCAAUUCGUAUGAAGACAUGGGAAGCAUGUGCAUCCAGUCUGCAGAUGACUCAACGCUGGAGGGGAUGGGAGAAUUAAGGUUCAAGAUGAGCUCGACAGUCGAGAAUGCUGGGUCAAAAGCAACCAGAUGAAAUUUAACAUCAAUAAAUCUAACGUCUUGAA